GACAGAUCUAAAUCUGGGUUUAAAAAAACAGAAAGCAGGCCAGGUGCAGUGGCUCACACCUGUAAUCCCAGUACUUUGGGAGGCUGAGGUGGGAGGAUUGCUUGAACCUGAGAGGUUGAGGCUGCAGUGAGCCAUGAUCACAUCACUGCACUCCAGCCUGGAUAACAGAGCAAGACUAUGACUCAAGAAUAAAAAGAAAAAAAGAUAUGAAAAAUUUCUAAGGAACUGAUUACUAACUCUCUUAUAUAAAAUAUUUAAAAGAAACUGACAAAAACUCCAAAUAGAAGGACAAUAAUAUUUGUAAAAUUAUAAAAUCUUUCAGAGAAAAAUGAUAAUUACAAGUGGGGUUCCUUUAAAAUCACAUUCUAGUUUUGUAAUUCAUGUAUUUCUUUUCUUGGUAGGAAGCAUGGGUUUACUUCCUUUUUGUAUGGGAGGACCCUAGACAAAGCUUUAUUUAGAGCAGAAGAUCAGCUGAAUAGCCCUAUAUCUACAGAAGAAACUAAAUUUAUACUUUAAAAUGUCCCAACAAACAAAACUUUAAGCAUCUUCAGGGAAGAUGGCUUCACUGAAUUCUACCAAACAUUUAAGGAAGAAAUAGUACCAAUCCUAUAAAAAAUUUUCCAAAAUAUAGAAGAGAGGGUAAUAUUUUCCAACUCAUUUUAUGAUAAUAGCAUUAUACAUGGGUUUACUUCUUAAAAGCUUAAGGUAAUUGUUCUCAACUGAGGGUGAUUUUGGCUCCCAGGAACAUUUGGCAUUAUCUAGAGACAUUUUUGACUGUUACAACUAGGGAGCAGUGCCACUGGAAACCAGUGGGUAAAGACCAG
This 824-nucleotide long non-coding RNA is filed under the name Homo sapiens (human). RNAcentral's name for it is "HSALNT0086694". The record is from RNAcentral. Lineage: Eukaryota; Metazoa; Chordata; Mammalia; Primates; Hominidae.